This is a non-coding RNA of Mycena rosella, 93 nucleotides long. The record is from the annotation of a GenBank genome assembly. NCBI's taxonomy places the organism in Eukaryota, Fungi, Basidiomycota, Agaricomycetes, Agaricales, Mycenaceae.
GCGGACGUGGUGCGCGGCGCACUGCUGCAUUUUAUUGCAAGGCACCUAGCAAAGGCUGAGCAGUCAAACGGGGUUCGACUCCCCGCGUCCGCC